GGUCAGCACACAUAUAUAUAAGCGGUUCCGUCUUGGGUUGCAGCAUCACAUACACACGCAUUCAGCCUGACUGACGUUGAAUUCUCGAUUCUCCGCUGAGCUACAUCACGGUUUAUCACAAGAUGGCAAACAUGCGCACUCUCUUCGUCCUCUCGGUGGCCGCCUUGGUUCUCAUAGCCGUUAGCAAUGCUAUGUUGGUAUGCCCAACGUUUCCGGGAUGCUGUGAGACUCAGAGUUGCGGAAGUCUGUGUCCAUCUUGCGACCAGGGAAGCCAUUUCACCAUGGGCGCUAAACUCCUUUCCAGCCGACCCCAGCCUUGCUCUCUCGUGGGAAACCUCAUCGACCUCCACAAUCUCGGGUCAUCCUCUGCCCUCGGCGAAAUGUUCGACUCCGAACUAUUCUGCCUCUGAGCAAAUAGAUCAUCCGAACUGAUGAAGGUUCUUGUCUGAUUUUUCAUUUGACCUCGUCAUUCGAGGAGCGCGUCGGGCGCGUUGUGCCCCAGGAAGAAGUACUUCCGCCCUCUCGACGUCCCAAUAGUGCAAGGAAACGAGACAGGAGUCAGGGCACCGCCGUAACAGCGUUACAUCCCUGUGACAACAAUUGGCGCCCACAGUGCAAAUGUUUCGAAGAGCAGCUGGCAACUCGGCCGACUUCAUGAGGCCCCGAGAAAUGGCCCGGAACUGCGAGGUGGUCACGUGACCCUGCAGCCGCGAGCAUCCAUGCAGUGAAUCAGUUCGCAAGUCCCAGGAAGUGGCAACGGCGACGUCCCUCCGACCUGUCCUCGCGACCACCCAAGACGAGUAUGUAGUGCUUCUGUUGUGAGCCAAGAUACGCGUUGCAAAGUUGCAAAUGCGGGAGAAAAAUCUUGCUGAGCUGAUUGUCUCCCGUAGGGCAACUGUGACACCAGCGACAGUCGUGGCCGAACGAGCGAGUAUUAGUAUACGCGUGAGAAGUCACUCAUUGUGAGUCUCUCGUCUGACUCAUCUCCCUGAAGUGUGUUUGACGAUGACGAAGCUGAAAGAAAGCUGCGAGUAAGGAAGGCCCUUCGAGGCCAAUUCGUAGGUUUUCAAGGCUUUGUGCUGAUCUGUGAUAGAGUUACUUCCUCUUUUUAUCAUUGUCGUUAUCUUCUCAUAGUCUACUUACUGUGACGGAAUGUUCACAUUUCAUUGUAUAUUUACAGCUGAAAUAGGUUCUUCUUCAAGUAAUAUGUCUAACUCAUAAAACAAUAUAUUCAAUCUUACAUCUCUUUCUACUUUUAUCAUUUCAUUCAUUCAUUCUCGUCCUAUUCAGAUUUCCAUUCAUCCACAUUCUCCCAUACAUUGUAUCUCUUUCAUUUACGGCUCAUUCAUUCAUUUUUCGCUCAUCGUUUUCUCAUCUAUUCGUGUAUUCGUUACUCCUUAGCAAGUGCCGCAUUCUCUUUCUCUUUAUCCAUUGCCUUUUGAUGCUUAUUCCUUUCCUAGGGUUGCAUAUUCAUCCUAAGUUCAUUAUUUCCUUUCCAUCCUAAUCCCGGGUUUUCCUUGGUUUACCAUCGCCUUCCUAUUCACCAUCCUCUGCCUCUCUUAAUCCUAAGCUUAUCAUCAUAGCGUUACAACCCCCAAAAACAUUCAGGAUUCUCACUCAUCCAUUUCCUCAAUUUUCAUCGACAUUCUCAUCCAUCCUUCAUUCUACGGUAUGCCCACUUUUUCAUUCCUAGUCCUUUUAUCGAAAAUGUUCCUGUUCACCAACUCCUUCAUCCCUCAGGAAGCCUUCUUACUUAUAUCCUUAGUUUUAAAGCUCAUAAUCAUCCACUGUUCUGCUGAAUAUUCUAGUUUCCAGUUAUCCUAGUCAUGCACAGCAUUUCCGCUCGCUCAUGUUUUUAAUUCAUUAACCUUUUCAUAAUGGUCUUCAUCCUCACCCUCGUCAUUCUUACGCAGCAACAGCCUCAUUCUUUCUCACUGUCCUGUUCAUCCUGUCCUUUGGGCUUUUGGUAUUCCUUAUCCCACUCUUUACUGCACAUUCCAUCAGUUUCCAUUUCCCUUUUCACUCAAUUCAUUCCCUUUCCAUUCUCUGUAUCAUCCCACUCAUAGUUUUCCACUCUCCUGCUCAUUCGACCUUUUAGUUCUCACUGUCCUGCUCAUUCACAUUCUUAGUUUUCAUUGUCCUGCUCAUUCACAUUCUUAAUUUUCAUUGUCCUGCUCAUUCACAUUCUUAAUUUUCAUUGUCCUGCUCAUUCACAUUCUUUAUUUUCAUUGUCUUGCUCAUUCCCAUUCUUAGUUUUUCACUCUCACGCUCAUAAAAUCUUCAGCUUCCCAUUGUCCUACUGAUUUACAUCCUCAUCUUCUCAUUGUCGUGCUCAUUCACUUUUAGUUUUCCACUAUCAUCCUCAUCAAAUCCUUGGCUUUCCACUGUCAUGCUUAUUCAUAUUCUUAGUUUCCCAUUGCCAUGCUCAUCAUUCACAUUCUUACCUUUCCAUUUUCCUGCUCAUUCACAUUAACCUUCCACUGUCAUGUUCAUUCAUAUUCUGUUUUCCAUUGCCAUGCUCAUCGUUCACAUUCGUACUUUUCCAUUUCACUGCUCAUUAAAAUCCUUAAGCUUCCAUUUUCCAGCUCAUUAUUUUCAUUCUUAUCUUUCCAUUAUCCUGCUCAUUAAAAUUCUUAACCUUCCAUUGUCCCGCUCAUUCACACUCUAAGUUUUCCAUUGCCAUGAUCAUCAUUCCCAUUCUUACCUUUCCAUUGUCCUGAUCAUUAAAAUCCUUGACCUUCCAUUGUCCUGAUCAUUAAAAUCCUCAACCUUCCAUUUUCCUGCUCAUUAAAAUCCUUAAACUCCCAUUGCCCUGCUCAUUAUUCGCAUUCUUAUCUUUCCAUUGUCCUGCUCAUUAAAAUCCUUAACCUUCCAUUGCCCUGCUCUCCAUUCGCAUUGUUACCAUCCAUUUUCCUGCUCUUUAAAAUCCUUACCCAUCCAUUGUCCUCCUCAUUCACAUCCUUAGCUUCCCAUUGUCCUGAUUGUCAAGCGCCUCACCUUUCUAUUGUCCUAUUCAUCCAAGCCCUCAGUUCGCAUUUUCCUCAUCAUCCACAUAUUCAACUUUCAAGUGCUUUUUCAUCCAUCCCUCCAUUUCCUCAUCAUCCGCCUCUUUAUCUUUCCAUACCCCAUAUUCAUUAAAUUCUUCAUCCCAGUGAUAUUGUGGUCACCCAAUGACCUUUUCUAGUCUCUCAUUCAUCCAUUUUCCCUUUUGUCCCUAGAUUUUCAUUGUCCUAUUCAUCAAAGUUAUUUGUAAUCUUCAGAAUUAUUGCUGUUCUGUUCAUCCGUUUCCUUGUCAUCAUACCCUCUGUUCAUUCAUCACCUUGUCAUCAGGGUAUCUGCUCAUUCAUUUUCAUGUCAUAGUAUCUGCUCAUUAUUUCUUUGCCAAUCUAACUCAGUUCAUUUCUUUCCUUAUCUAUUGUCCUAUUCAUCCAAGCCCUCAGUUCGCAUUUUCCUCAUCAUCCACAUAUUCAACUUUCAAGUGCUUUUUCAUCCAUCCCUCCAUUUCCUCAUCAUCCGCCUCUUUAUCUUUCCAUACCCCAUAUUCAUUAAAUUCUUCAUCCCAGUGAUAUUGUGGUCACCCAAUGACCUUUUCUAGUCUCUCAUUCAUCCAUUUUCCCUUUUGUCCCUAGAUUUUCAUUGUCCUAUUCAUCAAAGUUAUUUGUAAUCUUCAGAAUUAUUGCUGUUCUGUUCAUCCGUUUCCUUGUCAUCAUACCCUCUGUUCAUUCAUCACCUUGUCAUCAGGGUAUCUGCUCAUUCAUUUUCAUGUCAUAGUAUCUGCUCAUUAUUUCUUUGCCAAUCUAACUCAGUUCAUUUCUUUCCUUAUCUUCGUAGCCCUUCUUCAUCCAUUUCUAUUUUCAAUUUCAGAAGUCAUCCUUCCCUGACAUUCACCCUUUCUCUAUCUCCAUAUCUCUUUCGUUGACACGUUCUCACAUAUUGUCAGUUAUCUUUAAAAUUCUUUUCUUUUUAAUUUCCUCCAUUCUCACCAUAAGGACUUUCUUUUAUUGUAAGUGAAAAUCACUUGAAAAAAAGGAUGCUACGCUUUCUACAAAUCUUUAUGCCUUUGUCUAUCUGGUUUUAUAACUACUAUUUGCAAACUGUGAUCAAUAAAGAGGAAAGAACGCAAUUUCCAACAAGUGUAAA
Macrobrachium nipponense is the source of this 4140-nucleotide long non-coding RNA. RefSeq lists it as uncharacterized. Lineage: Eukaryota; Metazoa; Arthropoda; Malacostraca; Decapoda; Palaemonidae. The transcript has 2 exons. The record is from RefSeq and is a predicted model, not a curated record.